This 387-nucleotide long non-coding RNA is filed under the name Selaginella moellendorffii. RNAcentral describes it as "long non-coding RNA (SMOE_LNC002323)". The record is from RNAcentral. Lineage: Eukaryota; Viridiplantae; Streptophyta; Lycopodiopsida; Selaginellales; Selaginellaceae.
UCGCCGGACCCAGCGCACUUAAGAUCGAAGUCUCCCUUGCUCUCGUAAAACAUCUGGAAGUAAUGCUGCGGCAUCUGGUCCUUGUCAAGCCACUGCUGGCUUUCAACUUGAAGCUCCCACAGGUGAAUCCUCUCGCAAACUCGGUCAGUUCCCACUCCGCCGACUAACAGCAGCUUUUCCUUCCGCUUGAGCAGGAAAGACGAGUACAGGCACGCGGGCCGCGGCACCUUCAUCUCGGACCAUAGUCUGGUACCCAGGUUAUACGACAUGAGGUUGUAAGGGCGGGCAGACGUCAGACAGUAGAGUGUGCCCUGGCAGAAGACGGUUUUGGAGGUCCACACAGUAAUCUUGACGGUGUAGUAGCGGGGAAUGGCUCCAAGGACGGUC